CCUACGGGUGGCUGCAGUGGGGAAUAUUGGACAAUGGGCGAAAGCCUGAUCCAGCCAUGCCGCGUGUGUGAAGAAGGCCUUCGGGUUGUAAAGCACUUUCAGUGGGGAAGAAAGCCUUGGGGCUAAUACCCUCGAGGAAGGACAUCACCCACAGAAGAAGCACCGGCUAACUUCGUGCCAGCAGCCGCGGUAAUACGGAGGGUGCGAGCGUUAAUCGGAAUUACUGGGCGUAAAGCGCGCGUAGGCGGUCUGAUAAGCCGGUUGUGAAAGCCCCGGGCUCAACCUGGGAACGGCAUCCGGAACUGUCAGGCUAGAGUGCAGGAGAGGAAGGUAGAAUUCCCGGUGUAGCGGUGAAAUGCGUAGAGAUCGGGAGGAAUACCAGUGGCGAAGGCGGCCUUCUGGACUGGCACUGACGCUGAGGUGCGAAAGCGUGGGUAGCAAACAGGAUUAGAUACCCGUGUAGUC
Molecule: ribosomal RNA, 465 nt
Filed under: Vreelandella stevensii
Lineage: Bacteria; Pseudomonadati; Pseudomonadota; Gammaproteobacteria; Oceanospirillales; Halomonadaceae
Description: partial 16S ribosomal RNA
Rfam family: Bacterial small subunit ribosomal RNA
Source: RNAcentral